Molecule: ribosomal RNA, 301 nt
Filed under: uncultured bacterium
Lineage: Bacteria
Description: partial 16S ribosomal RNA
Rfam family: Bacterial small subunit ribosomal RNA
Source: RNAcentral
CAGCCGCCGCGGUAAAACGGAGGGAGCUAGCGUUAUUCGGAAUUACUGGGCGUAAAGCGCACGUAGGCGGCUUUGUAAGUUAGAGGCGAAAGCCUGGAGCUCAACUCCAGAAUUGCCUUUAAGACUGCAUCGCUUGAAUCCAGGAGAGGUGAGUGGAAUUCCGAGUGUAGAGGUGAAAUUCGUAGAUAUUCGGAAGAACACCAGUGGCGAAGGCGGCUCACUGGACUGGUAUUGACGCUGAGGCGCGAAAGCGUGGGGAGCAAACAGGAUUAGAUACCCGUGUAGUCCCUGUCUCUUAUAC